GCGUCGAUGGUGUAAUGGUUAGCAUACUUGCCUUCCAAGCAGGUGUUCCGGGUUCAAUUCCCGGUCGACGCA
Molecule: transfer RNA, 72 nt
Filed under: Dispira parvispora
Lineage: Eukaryota; Fungi; Kickxellomycota; Dimargaritomycetes; Dimargaritales; Dimargaritaceae
Rfam family: tRNA
About the family: Transfer RNA (tRNA) molecules are approximately 80 nucleotides in length. Their secondary structure includes four short double-helical elements and three loops (D, anti-codon, and T loops). Further hydrogen bonds mediate the characteristic L-shaped molecular structure. tRNAs have two regions of fundamental functional importance: the anti-codon, which is responsible for specific mRNA codon recognition, and the 3' end, to which the tRNAs corresponding amino acid is attached (by aminoacyl-tRNA synthetases). tRNAs cope with the degeneracy of the genetic code in two manners: having more than one tRNA (with a specific anti-codon) for a particular amino acid; and 'wobble' base-pairing, i.e. permitting non-standard base-pairing at the 3rd anti-codon position.
Source: Rfam by way of RNAcentral